CCGUGCCAUAUUAUUACCUGUGUUUGAAUUUCAAGUACCAGGUUCUCAUUUGUUGCUGAUAACUAAUAAUAGUUACUAUAAUAUUAUUAAGUUGAUAUGCUUUAUUUUGAUAGAACAAAUGAAUCAUUGAUCAUAUUUUCUCAUAGCAGAAUGAAGAAUAGUUCAGGUUAAUUUUUUUUUGUUAGAAAUAAUCAUAAAGGGUUUGUGAUUAAUGUCAAAUAUAAUAGUGGACAAAUCUAUGGUCAAUAUUCAUGUAGUAUUUGUUCUGAUUGAUUGAUAUGAGGGGCUGUUUGAUCUUUGUGUGUGUUCCAAAGUGCAGUUGUGGAUCUUGAUUUUGAUACUGAAGUUUUUAUAGAAUUGAAGGAGUUUUAGUUGUGGAUUUUAUGUUUACUUAGAUUCAAAAUUGUUGUUUUUGUUGGUUGUAAAUCUAAAAUGGAUUUCUGUAGUGAGGGAAGGACAUGGUUCUGACAAAAAUAUAAUUUUGAGUAAGGAAAGUUGAGUGGAUUUUUUUUAGGAGACAUGAAUGUGUUGUCUGCAUGGAUGCUUGAUGAGAUCAUUGACUAAUAGUUUUUGACAACAGUAAUAAUUUUGUUUCUUUAGAUCUUAUGGUUUUGAUCUUUAGGAGACUGCUCUGUGACAUUACCUUGAUAACUUGCCAUCAGAUCUGAUCUAUUGUUAAUAACCUAUCUUUGUUGAAAUGGGUAUACACUUAAAAUUUAAUUUGAAGUAAUAAGGAAAUGGUUGGGAGAUGUGUAUGUUCUGUUGAUGUUUGGAAAUGGAGUUUCUUGGGUUUCUGAUUUAAAGGUGACCAUGGUUGGUCCUUAUACUUGAAUUUGAAGUACUUUGUUUUGCCUAAAUUAGUAUGGGAAGAAAAUAUAAUACUGAGAAUGUUUUGUUGGGUGAAAAUCCAGGGUUAUAUAAUGGGUUAAUGAUUUUUGUGUACAAAGAAAUACUGAGAUUUUUGGGAAAAAAGAUUGUUAACUUUUGCUCUACUGCAAGUGAACACUAGGGAGGCGCUCUUGAGUUGUAAAAAUUACCCCUUUCUUCCAGUUGGGAUUGAAAAUUCCCCCUUAAACUUUGUCUUUAAAUGAUUUUAAAGAAUCAUGAAGAAUGCAAGGCUUGAAUUUAAUUUAUAAAAUUGAGGUUUUACUUUUAUUUAGAAAACAUUUUACCCAUGGGGGGUUAAUUUUUUAAAAAGAUGUGUACUUAAGCUGAGCUUUAGAUUUUCCAAGAAUUAUCCCUAUUUCAAAAUGGCUUGAUAAAACACCACUUCCUGUCCAGGGAGGAAGUUAUUUUAGCUCAAGGAUUGAAAUAUUUAGCAGAUCUUUAGACAAAAGGAACAAAUUACAUUUCUCUCUGGCUUAAAAAGGGUGCAUGAGCCAGAGGGGGUUAAGAAGCCCU
Molecule: long non-coding RNA, 1401 nt
Filed under: Marmota monax (woodchuck)
Lineage: Eukaryota; Metazoa; Chordata; Mammalia; Rodentia; Sciuridae
Source: RNAcentral